CUGGGCGGAUUAGUGGCGAACGGGUGAGUAACACGUGGGUGAUCUGCCCUGCACUUCGGGAUAAGCCUGGGAAACUGGGUCUAAUACCGGAUAUGACCAUGGGAUGCAUGUCCUGUGGUGGAAAGGUUUACUGGUGCAGGAUGAGCCCGCGGCCUAUCAGCUUGUUGGUGGGGUAAUGGCCUACCAAGGCGACGACGGGUAGCCGGCCUGAGAGGGCGACCGGCCACACUGGGACUGAGACACGGCCCAGACUCCUACGGGAGGCAGCAGUGGGGAAUAUUGCACAAUGGGCGAAAGCCUGAUGCAGCGACGCCGCGUGAGGGAUGACGGCCUUCGGGUUGUAAACCUCUUUCAGCAGGGACGAAGCGCAAGUGACUGUACCUGCAGAAGAAGCACCGGCUAACUACGUGCCAGCAGCCGCGGUAAUACGUAGGGUGCGAGCGUUGUCCGGAAUUACUGGGCGUAAAGAGUUCGUAGGCGGUUUGUCGCGUCGUGUGUGAAAUCCCGCAGCUCAACUGCGGGCUUGCAGGCGAUACGGGCAGACUUGAGUACUGCA
Molecule: ribosomal RNA, 556 nt
Filed under: bacterium W13M13
Lineage: Bacteria
Description: bacterial SSU rRNA
Rfam family: Bacterial small subunit ribosomal RNA
Source: RNAcentral